RNAcentral lists this ribosomal RNA (910 nucleotides) under uncultured prokaryote. RNAcentral describes it as "bacterial SSU rRNA". It matches the Rfam family "Bacterial small subunit ribosomal RNA", at positions 43 to 950 of the family's 1533-position model. The record is from RNAcentral.
UUCGCGACUCCAUGCAGUCGAGCGGAUGAAGGGAGCUUGCUCCUGGAUUCAGCGGCGGACGGGUGAGUAAUGCCUAGGAAUCUGCCUGGUAGUGGGGGAUAACGUCCGGAAACGGGCGCUAAUACCGCAUACGUCCUGAGGGAGAAAGUGGGGGAUCUUCGGACCUCACGCUAUCAGAUGAGCCUAGGUCGGAUUAGCUAGUUGGUGGGGUAAAGGCCUACCAAGGCGACGAUCCGUAACUGGUCUGAGAGGAUGAUCAGUCACACUGGAACUGAGACACGGUCCAGACUCCUACGGGAGGCAGCAGUGGGGAAUAUUGGACAAUGGGCGAAAGCCUGAUCCAGCCAUGCCGCGUGUGUGAAGAAGGUCUUCGGAUUGUAAAGCACUUUAAGUUGGGAGGAAGGGCAGUAAGUUAAUACCUUGCUGUUUUGACGUUACCAACAGAAUAAGCACCGGCUAACUUCGUGCCAGCAGCCGCGGUAAUACGAAGGGUGCAAGCGUUAAUCGGAAUUACUGGGCGUAAAGCGCGCGUAGGUGGUUCAGCAAGUUGGAUGUGAAAUCCCCGGGCUCAACCUGGGAACUGCAUCCAAAACUACUGAGCUAGAGUACGGUAGAGGGUGGUGGAAUUUCCUGUGUAGCGGUGAAAUGCGUAGAUAUAGGAAGGAACACCAGUGGCGAAGGCGACCACCUGGACUGAUACUGACACUGAGGUGCGAAAGCGUGGGGAGCAAACAGGAUUAGAUACCCUGGUAGUCCACGCCGUAAACGAUGUCGACUAGCCGUUGGGAUCCUUGAGAUCUUAGUGGCGCAGCUAACGCGAUAAGUCGACCGCCUGGGGAGUACGGCCGCAAGGUUAAAACUCAAAUGAAUUGACGGGGGCCCGCACAAGCGGUGGAGCAUGUGGUUUAAU